GGAGUUCAGAAUAAAUUGGCUGAUAUACAAUCUCGGCCAGCUAUAACAACACUUUAUUUAUUUACUGUGAUGGAGAUUCAGCCAACUGUACAUGAAGAAUAUGUCAACAUGUAUGGCCAUGAUCCAGAUUUUUAUGACAUAAUAAUUGUGGUGAAAAUUGAGAAACCAUCAUAGUUUACAUUGAGAGAUGGAUACUCUAUAAAGAAUCAUAACU
Molecule: long non-coding RNA, 214 nt
Filed under: Carica papaya (papaya)
Lineage: Eukaryota; Viridiplantae; Streptophyta; Magnoliopsida; Brassicales; Caricaceae
Description: long non-coding RNA (CPAP_LNC006535)
Source: RNAcentral